RNAcentral lists this ribosomal RNA (744 nucleotides) under Micromonospora sp. Its description in RNAcentral is "bacterial SSU rRNA". It matches the Rfam family "Bacterial small subunit ribosomal RNA", at positions 94 to 851 of the family's 1533-position model. The record is from RNAcentral. Lineage: Bacteria; Bacillati; Actinomycetota; Actinomycetes; Micromonosporales; Micromonosporaceae.
AGCGGCGAACGGGUGAGUAACACGUGAGCAACCUGCCCCAAGCUUUGGGAUAACCCCGGGAAACCGGGGCUAAUACCGGAUAGGACCUGACCUCGCAUGGGGUUGGGUGGAAAGUUUUUCGGCUUGGGAUGGGCUCGCGGCCUAUCAGCUUGUUGGUGGGGUGAUGGCCUACCAAGGCGACGACGGGUAGCCGGCCUGAGAGGGCGACCGGCCACACUGGGACUGAGACACGGCCCAGACUCCUACGGGAGGCAGCAGUGGGGAAUAUUGCACAAUGGGCGGAAGCCUGAUGCAGCGACGCCGCGUGAGGGAUGACGGCCUUCGGGUUGUAAACCUCUUUCAGCAGGGACGAAGCGAGAGUGACGGUACCUGCAGAAGAAGCACCGGCCAACUACGUGCCAGCAGCCGCGGUAAGACGUAGGGUGCGAGCGUUGUCCGGAUUUAUUGGGCGUAAAGAGCUCGUAGGCGGCUUGUCGCGUCGACUGUGAAAACCCGCAGCUCAACUGCGGGCCUGCAGUCGAUACGGGCAGGCUAGAGUUCGGUAGGGGAGACUGGAAUUCCUGGUGUAGCGGUGAAAUGCGCAGAUAUCAGGAGGAACACCGAUGGCGAAGGCAGGUCUCUGGGCCGAUACUGACGCUGAGGAGCGAAAGCGUGGGGAGCGAACAGGAUUAGAUACCCUGGUAGUCCACGCUGUAAACGUUGGGCGCUAGGUGUGGGGGGCCUCUCCGGUUCCCUGUGCCGCAG